UACGAAGGGGGCUAGCGUUGCUCGGAAUUACUGGGCGUAAAGGGCGCGUAGGCGGAUAGUUAAGUCAGAGGUGAAAGCCCAGGGCUCAACCCUGGAAUUGCCUUUGAUACUGGCUAUCUUGAGUAUGGGAGAGGUGAGUGGAACUCCGAGUGUAGAGGUGAAAUUCGUAGAUAUUCGGAAGAACACCAGUGGCGAAGGCGACUCACUGGCCCAUUACUGACGCUGAGGCGCGAAAGCGUGGGGAGCAAACAGG
Molecule: ribosomal RNA, 253 nt
Filed under: uncultured bacterium
Lineage: Bacteria
Description: partial 16S ribosomal RNA
Rfam family: Bacterial small subunit ribosomal RNA
Source: RNAcentral